This 263-nucleotide ribosomal RNA is filed under the name Aquitalea sp. W1_12. RNAcentral describes it as "partial 16S ribosomal RNA". It matches the Rfam family "Bacterial small subunit ribosomal RNA", at positions 1176 to 1438 of the family's 1533-position model. Lineage: Bacteria; Pseudomonadati; Pseudomonadota; Betaproteobacteria; Neisseriales; Chromobacteriaceae. The record is from RNAcentral.
GGGAUGACGUCAAGUCCUCAUGGCCCUUAUGACCAGGGCUUCACACGUCAUACAAUGGUCGGUACAGAGGGUAGCCAAGCCGCGAGGUGGAGCCAAUCUUAUAAAACCGAUCGUAGUCCGGAUCGCACUCUGCAACUCGAGUGCGUGAAGUCGGAAUCGCUAGUAAUCGCAGAUCAGCAUGCUGCGGUGAAUACGUUCCCGGGUCUUGUACACACCGCCCGUCACACCAUGGGAGUGAGUUUCACCAGAAGUGGGUAGGCUAA